RNAcentral lists this ribosomal RNA (192 nucleotides) under Enterobacter sp. UCD-UG_FMILLET. Its description in RNAcentral is "partial 16S ribosomal RNA". It matches the Rfam family "Bacterial small subunit ribosomal RNA", at positions 1 to 182 of the family's 1533-position model. Lineage: Bacteria; Pseudomonadati; Pseudomonadota; Gammaproteobacteria; Enterobacterales; Enterobacteriaceae. The record is from RNAcentral.
ACUUAAAUUGAAGAGUUUGAUCAUGGCUCAGAUUGAACGCUGGCGGCAGGCCUAACACAUGCAAGUCGAGCGGUAGCACAGGAGAGCUUGCUCUCCGGGUGACGAGCGGCGGACGGGUGAGUAAUGUCUGGGAAACUGCCUGAUGGAGGGGGAUAACUACUGGAAACGGUAGCUAAUACCGCAUAACGUCGC